CCCGGCAAACGCCGUUCCCUGCUCGGCUCCGGCGGCCCCAGCUUCGCGCUUGCCCAGCCGCGUCCCUGAAGCGACCACACCGGGGCAGCCCCGUGACAGCCUCACGGUCGCGGGACCUUGAUAGGAAGGGUGUCUCUGCCGACAGUUCGGCUGCCGAAAGUGGUAGGAUGACCCGCAAUUUAAGAAAGGGCAAAGUCCUUUGGGUCAAAGAACCCUGAUAGAGAACCGGGAGGCGGAUCUUGGCUCCUGAAAAUGACCACCAGUGAAGUUAAUUUGUGAAGUGGAUUAUGCUGUUUGCCAAAUAUGCCCACAAUAUCCUUGGCUGUUUUCUGAGUGACUGAGACCAUUGCUCCUGGACAGAAGCUGUGGAGGCCUCAGAUAGAUGUGACUGAAACUGCGCUUGAGAUUUCCUGGUUCUUGUCACCAUCAAGGAAAGACCAGAGAUGAGACAGUGGAAGAAAUUUAUUUUAGAGUGAAAGCGCACACUUACUGGGGUUUCUCUGUGUAGCUCUGGCAGUCCUGGAACUUGCCCUAUAGACUACGUUGGCCUUGAACCUCUGUAGAUCUACCUGCCUACAGAUCUGCUCUGUAAUCCAAGUGCUUCAAUUAAAGGCGUGUACCACCACAGCCCUGCUUACAACUUUGCUAUUGGUGAGUCCUGAUGAGAAUACAAAAAGCAUGCUUGAUGUGAAGCUGCUUUUACAGUUUUUAGAAAAAAAU
Mesocricetus auratus (golden hamster) is the source of this 720-nucleotide long non-coding RNA. RefSeq lists it as uncharacterized. Lineage: Eukaryota; Metazoa; Chordata; Mammalia; Rodentia; Cricetidae. The transcript is spliced from 3 exons. The record is from RefSeq and is a predicted model, not a curated record.